RNAcentral lists this long non-coding RNA (421 nucleotides) under Anser brachyrhynchus (Pink-footed goose). Its description in RNAcentral is "lncRNA (ENSABRG00000006317.1)". The record is from RNAcentral. Lineage: Eukaryota; Metazoa; Chordata; Aves; Anseriformes; Anatidae.
AUGUGCACUGGGGAAAAAAAAACAACCCCCCAGCAAAACACUUUUUUUACAGCUGGAAUAAUGACUAUUGUUGCUGCAGCCCCUUGCAGUGGGUGCUCACAAGAGCAGGUCAUGGAUGCGCUGAGCACAGAUGAGUCCAUCCCUCCUCUCCCCAUCUGUCCUCUGAACAGAGGUUCAGAUCAAGAAGUGCACAGAAGUGCUGAAGUAUUGUCCUGAUCUCAACAGAUUUACAGGCUGAGGGUGCCAUAAGAUGAGGAGCAGAUCAGCAGAGACAAAUCUUAAUCUGGUGAGUGCAGUCUGGAUGUUCAUCCAAAACUCAAGCUGAGUUACACUUCUGAGAAGAAACCAAAGCAAACAGCCUGGAUUAAUCUACAAAGGAAGGAAAAAAAAAAAAGGUAAAGUGAAAAGUAGGCUCUUGUUU